ACAACCUCCGCAAUCACAGACUCUUCUAUCUCGUAUCAAAGAAGCCAAAUAUAAUGUGGGUCUGGCUAUAAUUGACACCUGGAAAGCUAAAAGAGCUAAAACGUCAGUACAAUUUACCAUCUCUCGUGGUGUUGAAGAAUCGUUGUUUCGAAGUUGUAAGGAGAUGAGAUGCGAAAAUAAAAACAUAAUAAACUGAACGCCGAUAGGUGUUUGUUGUAUUGUCUCAGACAGAGUUCACUGGAAAUUCUGUGUGGAGCUUGUGCAAACAACGUGAAGAGAAAAAUUAUAAGUCAACUGUGCAUUUUCAACCCAAAUCUUCAGUAGGAACUCAGGCCCAUAUUGUACUAGAAAUCUUAUCAAACAAAGAAGUACUACGGAAAGGUAUGCUAAUGAUCUUUAGAAGACACUUCAGUUUAUGCAUUUCUCUUGACCUAAACCUUAAUAUGUAGUAUAUGUUAUUAUUUGGAGGUGAAGCUGACAGAUAUUUGGACUUGUAGGGUGACAUUAUAUGUGAUAUUGGUUGGUGCAUAUCCCUCCGAUGAUCCUAAUGAUACACGAAAUUUCAGGAGAUUAAGCAUGAAUUCUUGUUCAUCUUUAAGUUAUAGUUGGCUUUGUUUUGCCCUCUUUGACUCAAUCCUCAUGUUUUCAGAUGGUACACUUCAUGUCGUGAUAAGUGAUUAUUAGAUAAUUACAACAACAAUAACUACCCAGUAAAAUCCCACAAAGUGGGGUCCGGGAAGGGUAAUGUGUACGCAGACCUUACCCCUACCCCGAUAGGGCAGAGAGGCUGUUUCUGAUAGACCCUGAUUACUAGAUAAUUGGAGGAAUAAUAUUAGCAUGUUACAUGAGGAACAAGUUCAUGCUGAUUAUUGCAUCUAGCUCUGUUUCGGAUGAGCAAAUUUUCAGCUUUCCUCUUGCGGCUUUGACUGCACAGCUGUCAAUUAAGUUUCAUAUUGUUUGUAGGAAUAGAAGUAAAUGUCAUUUAAGAUUAAACUUAUGCUUUCCAGUAGAAGGGAAAUUCCAUUGCUUUACUACUCUUAGGAAUGAGAUGAACAACAACAUUCUGUCAUAUUUCAGCCCU
This is a long non-coding RNA of Nicotiana attenuata, 1081 nucleotides long. RefSeq lists it as uncharacterized. The record is from RefSeq and is a predicted model, not a curated record. Lineage: Eukaryota; Viridiplantae; Streptophyta; Magnoliopsida; Solanales; Solanaceae. The transcript is spliced from 3 exons.